UCUGCCCCAUGGGGAAGGAUGAGAAGCUUCGACUAAGGUUCGACUCGAGCGAAGCGAGAGAACGUUGCCGCAGGCAAUGGCCCGAAGGCGAGGCGCUUUAGCGCCGAGUAAUCCUUCCCCCACCACUG
RNAcentral lists this small RNA (128 nucleotides) under Klebsiella pneumoniae. Its description in RNAcentral is "RtT sRNA". It matches the Rfam family "RtT RNA". From Rfam's summary of the family: This family represents a bacterial cis-regulatory element known as RtT RNA. The exact function of RtT is unknown although it is thought that it may be involved in changing the cellular response in relation to amino acid starvation. The record is from RNAcentral. Lineage: Bacteria; Pseudomonadati; Pseudomonadota; Gammaproteobacteria; Enterobacterales; Enterobacteriaceae.